UCNNCCACAUUGGGACUGAGACACGGCCCAAACUCCUACGGGAGGCAGCAGUAGGGAAUCUUCCACAAUGGACGAAAGUCUGAUGGAGCAACGCCGCGUGAGUGAAGAANGGUUUCGGCUCGUAAAACUCUGUUGUUAAAGAAGAACAUAUCUGAGAGUAACUGUUCAGGUAUUGACGGUAUUUAACCAGAAAGCCACGGCUAACUACGUGCCAGCA
This 217-nucleotide ribosomal RNA is filed under the name Lactiplantibacillus plantarum. RNAcentral describes it as "Lactobacillus plantarum partial 16S ribosomal RNA". It matches the Rfam family "Bacterial small subunit ribosomal RNA", at positions 304 to 513 of the family's 1533-position model. Lineage: Bacteria; Bacillati; Bacillota; Bacilli; Lactobacillales; Lactobacillaceae. The record is from RNAcentral.